This 923-nucleotide long non-coding RNA is filed under the name Lynx pardinus (Iberian lynx). The record is from RNAcentral. Lineage: Eukaryota; Metazoa; Chordata; Mammalia; Carnivora; Felidae.
GGAGGCGGCACUGCCCUGCGUCAUGAGAGUUGGGGCGGCGGUUACGUGACUAUAUGCCUUCAUCAGAACUCAUCAAAUUGUGCACUUAAAACACUGGGGGACCUUUCCUUUUAUAGGUUACUGCUCGAUAAGGCUACAGAAAAUUAACGGACACGUUUAAAUUUGCCGUGACACUGCACAGGGGUCAACGUUGUCCACCUGCACGAGUGAGGCAAGACGGCUGGGGCGGCCCUGACUCGUGCUUUCUGGAAGCCUGGUGUGAAGGGGACCAGGGCCGAGGGCCGAGGCGGGGAGUGCAGAGGACCUGGCCCCAUUAAAGGCCUGCUGGGGACGGCGGGGGAUCUCCUGGUGGCUCUUGGGUUAAGUGUCUCCCUCUUGGUUUCGGCUCAGGUCGCGAUCUCACGGUUCGUGGGUUCAGGCCCCGCGUCGGGCUCCGCGCUGGCAAUGCGGAGCCUGCUUGUGAUUCUCUCUCUCCCUCUCCGCCCCUCCCUCUCCACCCCUCCCCUGCUCCCUCUCUCUGUCUUGCUUGAAAUGAAUAAAUAAACUUAAAAACGAUUUUUUAAAUAAAAAAUAAAUGACCGCUGGAAGGUUCUGGAUGAGAGAAGGGGGUGGGGGAAGAGGGAGACGUUCAAGUGUGGGAGGGGGCGACAGGCGCAGGGAGGGCGGGAGGGGCGGACAGGAUGCUCACCUGGGGCCCCCCGGGGAGUGCCGUCUGUGCUCUCCUUGUCCCCUGGAGUGUCUCCUGCGCUGAAACCUUUGUCUGAUGCUAACACAGCGAGCUAUCAUUUCCAUCUUGCUACUUUCACACUGUCUGUGUCUCUGUAUGUAAAGAGGAUUCCUUGCAGACACAAAUAGCCGUAUCCUUCUGGCCAAUCUGAACAGCUCUGCCUUUUAAUUGCACCGUUCCGUCGCUUUAUUGUGGA